CGUUGACCUCCCGUGCCCCCUUUUGCUUUCCGUUAGGCUACAGUGGUAACCACAGUACUGUCUUUUUGCCACUAGGGGUCACUGUCACAUGUCCAAAGAAGUGAGCUUGGCCGCUGUAGAUUAGAACCACAGGGGUGGUAGACUGCAGAUCUAUCAGGAGACCCUAGGGGGCCAUCUCAACCCCACCUCUUCCUCCACCCUGAAAUAAUUUUGGAUGGAUAGGUGUUUUUGGAACUAAGACAUCUCCAGUUAAGGCGAUGUUUGCUUCACGCCUGCACCUGUGUCCCAUCCUCUUCCCAUCUGUAUAUGCCACCAGUAAGCUUUAGGAAACGCCCCACGAAAUCAGUCAGCGCUCCCCUCCCAUCUUGCUCAGUGGAGGUGGCAAAGCCCCUCUUUUUCCUCCUCUGUCCCCAGGUGCUCUCCUCUAGCAGCACAGGAACCUUCUUUGUUCUUGUGUGUCACUGGGUUUCUCACCAAGGUUGCUUUAGGGCCCAGAAGUGGCACAGAGAACAUGGCCAGUCUCUUACUGGGCUGCAUCUAAGCUGAGCCCUCUCCAGGGGUUUCCCAGAAUAGUAAACCAGGCACACACAGGCAGAAAAGUCUGAGAAGCAGAGAAGUAGGAAUGCAGAAGAGGAG
RNAcentral lists this long non-coding RNA (636 nucleotides) under Homo sapiens (human). RNAcentral describes it as "HSALNT0190010". Lineage: Eukaryota; Metazoa; Chordata; Mammalia; Primates; Hominidae. The record is from RNAcentral.